GACAUAGGCGGCGAACGUUAUCCGGAAUUACUGGGCGUAAAGGGUGCGUAGAUUGUGAGAUAAGUUAUCAGUGGGAAAUCGAAGCUCAACUUCGUGGAAAUUGAUAAUACUGUCACACUAGAGAGUAGAAGGGGUUAAUGGAAUUUCAUGUGUAUGCAGUAAAAUGUUAAGAGAUAUGAAAGAACACCAAAAUGGGCGAAGGCAAUUAACUAUUCUACUUCUGACAUUGAGGCACGAAAGCGUGGGAAGCAAAGCGG
Molecule: ribosomal RNA, 257 nt
Filed under: uncultured bacterium
Lineage: Bacteria
Description: partial 16S ribosomal RNA
Rfam family: Bacterial small subunit ribosomal RNA
Source: RNAcentral